CUACGGGCCGCAGCAGUGAGGAAUAUUGCACAAUGGGGGGAACCCUGAUGCAGCAACGCCGCGUGGAGGAUGACGCAUUUCGGUGUGUAAACUCCUUUUAUAUGUCAAGAAAAUGACGGUAGCAUAUGAAUAAGCACCGGCUAACUCCGUGCCAGCAGCCGCGGUAAUACGGAGGGUGCAAGCGUUACUCGGAAUCACUGGGCGUAAAGGACGCGUAGGCGGGUUGGAAAGUCAGGUGUGAAAUCCUACAGCUUAACUGUAGAACUGCACUUGAAACUUCUAAUCUAGAGUAUGGGAGGGGAGAUGGAAUGAGUGGUGUAGGGGUAAAAUCCGUAGAUAUCACUAGGAAUACCUAAAGCGAAGGCGAUCUCCUGGAACAUUACUGACGCUAAGGCGUGAAAGCGUGGGGAGCAAACAGGAUUAGAUACCCGCGUAGUC
Molecule: ribosomal RNA, 438 nt
Filed under: uncultured bacterium
Lineage: Bacteria
Description: partial 16S ribosomal RNA
Rfam family: Bacterial small subunit ribosomal RNA
Source: RNAcentral